AUGUAAUAGUAUCGGGUUUCUCAAGGGUGGUCGGCACACUCCCCGCUGAAAGGGGGUGGUGCUGAUUGACAGUUUUUGAAUCAUUAAUGUUUGCGAUUGGUUUCGCAAGUUUAAUCGUUGCUAUUCUGUCAUUUAAUAACCAUAAAAAAUAAUCCACCCUUGAGUUGAAUGGCCUUGGGUGGAUUAUUAUUCACACAAUGUCGAUCCCCCUUGAAGGGAACCUGCUAUUGCAUUAGACCGUGUGGUGUAGCAGCACCAGCG
This 261-nucleotide small RNA is filed under the name Neobacillus vireti LMG 21834. RNAcentral describes it as "Bacillus vireti LMG 21834 BsrG". It matches the Rfam family "BsrG". From Rfam's summary of the family: bsrE, bsrG and bsrH pair through intermolecular interactions with antisense sRNAs. SR4 interaction with the 3'UTR of bsrG RNA promotes bsrG degradation and inhibits its translation. Lineage: Bacteria; Bacillati; Bacillota; Bacilli; Caryophanales; Bacillaceae. The record is from Rfam by way of RNAcentral.